This 596-nucleotide ribosomal RNA is filed under the name uncultured fungus. RNAcentral describes it as "eukaryotic LSU rRNA". The stretch from base 237 to 387 matches the Rfam family "5.8S ribosomal RNA". The record is from RNAcentral. Lineage: Eukaryota; Fungi.
CUUGGUCAUUAGAGGAAGUAAAAGUCGUAACAAGGUUUCCGUAGGUGAACCUGCGGAGGAUCAUUACAAGUGAGGCUCCGAACGCUGGAAACAGCGGUCAGGAGCUACACCCACCCGUGUUUACAUACUAUUGUUGCUUUGGCGGGCCGUGGCCUCACUGCGGGCUCUGCUCGUGUGUGCCCGCCAGAGGACCAAACUCUGAAUUUAGUGAUGUCUGAGUACUAUCUAAUAGUUAAAACUUUCAACAACGGAUUCUUGGUUCUGGCAUCGAUGAAGAACGCAGCGAAAUGCGAUAAGUAAUGGAAUUGCAGAAUUCAGUGAAUCAUCGAAUCUUUGAACGCACAUUGCGCCUGUGGUAUUCCGCAGGGCAUGCCUGUUCGAGCGUCAUUUAACCACUCACCCUAGCGUGGUAUUGGGGCACGCGGUCUCGCGGCCCUCAAAAUCAGUGGGGCGCCGGUGGGCUCUAAGCGUAGUACAUACUCCCGCUAUAGAGUUCCCCGGUGGCUCGCCAGAACCUCCAAUUUUUUACAGGUUGACCUCGGAUCAGUAGGGAUACCCGCUGAACUUAAGCAUAUCAAUAAGCGGAGGAAAGGGCU